This 286-nucleotide long non-coding RNA is filed under the name Pan troglodytes (chimpanzee). RNAcentral's name for it is "long non-coding RNA NONPTRT010125". Lineage: Eukaryota; Metazoa; Chordata; Mammalia; Primates; Hominidae. The record is from RNAcentral.
UCUCGUGCCUCAGCUACCCAAAUAGCUGGAAUCACAGGCAUGCGCCACCACAUCUAAUUUUUGUAUUUACAGUAGGAGCCACUGUGCCUGGCACAGAGCUGUAGCUUUAUAAAUACACUGGAUGUCGUCUAAAUAAUGUCUUGACAGUGUGAAACAACACUUCUAAUAUAAUCCAGAAUUUAUAAAGCAAUGAAAAAUUCUAGGCAACACACUUUAAGGGGAUCACUGACAAAGAAUAUUGCCAGAGAUGAAUAACUCAUAUAGUGAUAAAUCCAAAAACCAUACC